Molecule: long non-coding RNA, 1293 nt
Filed under: Homo sapiens (human)
Lineage: Eukaryota; Metazoa; Chordata; Mammalia; Primates; Hominidae
Description: non-protein coding lnc-PANK1-2:15
Source: RNAcentral
AGUAGUGCGCUUUCUCGCGGCUGUCAUAAGUACCACGCUGUUGACUGGGACACCGAUCUCCAAUUCUGUCCUUGAGGCAAUAAAGAUGUGGCGAAGGCCCGAGGUGAGGCCACUGCCACUGCACUUAGUCCUGCGACUCCCCUAAGGACGGGCCGAGGAAUGGCGGGCUAGCCACUUCCCAGUCCUGUCCCUACGGGGCAGAAAAAGGCUCGGCAUCCCGGGAUCCGGAGGGUCACUUCCCUCGCUGCAUCCCCAUUGUGCAACUGCCAGUCUAAAAAUUGAUAUAGGUUAAUCUCCUGGAGAAACUAGAGGCAGCCAGGGAGGAUGCUGUUGAACCAGUUAGGAGGCUGUUGCAAGAGAUCCCAGGAAAAGAUAAUGAUAAUGUGGACUUGGAAGAUGGCAGAGGAGUUGCAGAAAAGUAUCCAGAUUUUAAAGGUCUAUAGUCUUUACUCUGCAAUUCCAAAACAGGACAAAAAACAAAACACUGUGAAACCCAAAGUGUUUUUGUAAGUUUGGCACCAGGAUUAUAUGCCAAAGAAAACCUACUGUGAACAAAUAUGAAGCCUCUAUUGUCUCAGCACUUGUAUCCGUAAGUCACACAUGCCUCUGCUAUUUGCUGAUAUUUUCUGACUUGGGGAUUAAUUCCAUGGAAAAUGUCGAAAAGGGCUAAAGAUAUACCUAUGGGUAACAGUGAGAAGAAGAAAAGGAAGCAUCUGUCUUUAUCAAUAUCUCAGAAAGUGGAGUUAUUGCAGAAACUUGAUGGUGGUAUGUCUGUGAGGUGUCUUACUGAAGAAUAUGGUAUGGGAACCACCACGAUAUAUGACUUAAAGAAACAGACAAGUUGUUGAAAUUUUAUAGUGACAGCAAUAACCAGGAACGAAUGAAAAAUAGAAAAACAUUGCAUAGAGCCAAAAAUGAAGACCUUGACCCUGUGUUGAUUGAAUGGGUUCGACAACAAAGAAGUAAAGAUACACCACUGACUGGUUUGUUGGUCGUGAAACAAGCUAGAAUAUACCAUGAAGAACUGAACUUUGAAGGAGAGUGUGAAUAUUCAGGAGGCUGGCUGCAGAAAUUUAAAAAGUGUCUUGGAAUCAAGUAUCUUCAAAUCUGUGGUGAAAAGGCUUCUCCUGAUGAUGAAGCUACUGAAAAUUACAUUGAUGAAUUUGCUAAGGUAAUAUCUGAUGAAAAUCUUAGCCCUGAACAAAUUUACAGUGCUGAUGAAACAGCUUUGUACUGGUGCUAUGUUCCUAGAAAAACUUUAACAAUGGCUAACAAAAGAGCAACAACAGAUGU